RNAcentral lists this ribosomal RNA (1379 nucleotides) under uncultured organism. Its description in RNAcentral is "16S ribosomal RNA". It matches the Rfam family "Bacterial small subunit ribosomal RNA", at positions 91 to 1448 of the family's 1533-position model. The record is from RNAcentral.
ACGAGUGGCGGACGGGUGAGUAACACGUGGGUAACCUGCCCUUAACUGGGGGAUAACAUUUGAAAACAGAUGCUAAUACCGCAUAGAUCCAAGAACCGCAUGGUUCUUGGCUGAAAGAUGGCGUAUGCUAUCGCUUUUGCAUGGACCCUCGGCGCAUUAUCUACUUGGCGAGGUAAUGGCUCACCAAGGCGAUGAUACGUAGCCGAACUGAUAGGUUGAUCGGCCACCUUGCCACUGAGACACGGCCCAAACUCCUACUGGAGGCAUCAGUAAGGAAUCUUCCACAAUGGACGCAAGUCUGAUGCAGCAACGCCGCGUGACUGAAGAAUGCUUUCGGGUCCUAAAACUCUGUUGGUGGAGAAUAAUCGGUCGGCCCACUAACUGUUGUCCGCGUGACCGUAUCCAACCAGAAAACCACGGCUAACUACGUGCCACCUCCCGCGGCAAUACAUAAGUGGCCAUCGUUAUCCGCAUUUAUUGGGCGUAAAGAGAGCGCAUGAGGUUUUUUCAUUCUGAUGUGAAAGCCCUCGGCUUAACCUAGGAAGCGCAUCGGAGACUGGAAAACUUGACUGCACAAGAGGACAGUGGAACUCCAUGUGUAGGGGGGAAAUGCGUAGAUAUAUGGAAGGAACACCAGUGGCGAAGGCGGCGUUUUGGGUCUGUACUUGCCGGUGAGGCUCGAAAGCAUGGGUAGCGAACAGGAUUUAGAUACCCGGGUAAGUCCAUUCCGUAAACGAUGAAUGCUAGGUGUUGGAGGGUUUUCGCCUUUCAGGUGCCGCAGCUAACGCAUUAAGCAUUCCGCCUGGGGGAGUACGACCGCAAGGUUGAAACUCAAAGGAAUUGACGGGGGCCCGCACAAGCGGUGGAGCAUGUGGUUUAAUUUGAAGCAACGCGAAGAACCUUACCAGGUCUUGACAUCUUUUGAUCACCUGAGAGAUCAGGUUUCCCCUUCGGGGGCAAAAUGACAGGUGGUGCAUGGUUGUCGUCAGUUCGUGUCGUGAGAUGUUGGGUUAAGUCCCGCAACGAGCGCAAUCCUUAUGACUAGUUGCCAGCAUUUAGUUGGGCACUCUAGUAAGACUGUCGGUGACAAACCGGAGGAAGGUGGGGAUGAGGUCAAAUUAUCAUUCCCCUUAUGACCUGGGCUACACACGUGUUACAAUGGAUGGUACAACGAGUUGAGAGACCGCGAGGUCAAGCUAAUCUCUUAAAGCCAUUCUCAUUUCGGACUGUAGGCUGCAACUAGCUUACAUGAAGUCGGAAUCGCUAGUAAUCGCGGAUCAGCUCGCCGCGGUGAAUACGUUCCCGGGCCUUGUACACACCGCCCGUCACUCCAUGAGAGUUUGUAACACCCGAAGCCGGUGGGGUAACCCUUUUAGGGA